GGGGCGUGAGAGCGUGGCCCCCCACACUGGUACUGAGACACGGACCAGAUACCUGCGGGUAGCAGCAGCAAGGAAUAUUGCGCAAUGGGCGAAAGCCUGACGCAGCAACGCCGCGUGGAGGAUGAAGGCCUUCGGGUUGUAAACUCCUUUUCUGGGGGAAGAGAAAGGACGGUACCCCAGGAAUAAGUCUCGGCUAACUACGUGCCAGCAGCCGCGGUAAAACGUAGGAGGCGAGCGUUAUCCGGAUUUAUUGGGCGUAAAGCGCAUGUAGGCGGUUUUCUAAGUCGGACGUGAAAGCUCCUGGCUCAACUGGGAGAGGUCGUUCGAAACUAGGAGACUUGAGGAUGGUAGAGGAGAGUGGAAUUCCCGGUGUAGUGGUGAAAUGCGUAGAUAUCGGGAGGAACACCAGUGGCGAAGGCGGCUCUCUGGACCAUUCCUGACGCUCAGAUGCGAAAGCUAGGGGAGAGAACGGGAUUAGAAACCCCGGUAUUCCUAGCCGUAAACGAUGUCAACUAGGCGUAGGGGGUUAUUGACCCCUCCUGUGCUGCAGCUAACGCAUUAAGUUGACCGCCUGGGGACUACGGCCGCAAGGCUAAAACUCAAAGGAGUUGACGGGGACCCGCACAAGCAGCGGAGCGUGUGGUUUAAUUCGAGCUACGCGAAGAACCUUACCAGGGUUUGACAUGCUGGUGGUAGUGAAACGAAAGUGGAACGACCCUUCGGGGAGCCAGCACAGGUGCUGCAUGGCUGUCGUCAGCUCGUGCCGUGAGGUGUUAGGUUAAGUCCUGUAACGAGCGCAACCCUCGUCGUUAGUUAUAUGUGUCUAACGAGACUGCCGGUGAUAAGCCGGAGGAAGGUGGGGAUGACGUCAAGUCAGCAUGGCCUCUAUAUCCUGGGCUACACACACGCUACAAUGGCCGGUACAAUGGGCAGCUAAGUCGCGAGACGGAGCCAAUCCUCUAAAGCCGGUCUCAGUUCGGAUUGUAGGCUGCAACUCGCCUGCAUGAAGUCGGAGUUGCUAGUAAACGCACGUCAGCACAGUGCGUUGAAUACGUUCCCGGGUCUUGUACACACCGCCCGUCACGUCAUGGAAGUUGGCAACGCCUAAAGUCAGUGAGCUAACCCUAACGGGAGGCAGCUGCCUAAGGCGGGGUCGGUAACUGGGACGAAGUCGGAACAGGGUAGCUGUAGCGGAAGCUGCGGCUG
RNAcentral lists this ribosomal RNA (1206 nucleotides) under metagenome. Its description in RNAcentral is "bacterial SSU rRNA". It matches the Rfam family "Bacterial small subunit ribosomal RNA", at positions 287 to 1520 of the family's 1533-position model. The record is from RNAcentral.